This 844-nucleotide ribosomal RNA is filed under the name uncultured bacterium. RNAcentral describes it as "bacterial SSU rRNA". It matches the Rfam family "Bacterial small subunit ribosomal RNA", at positions 31 to 891 of the family's 1533-position model. The record is from RNAcentral.
GAACGCUGGCGGCGUGCUUAACACAUGCAAGUCGAACGGUGAAGCCCUUCGGGGUGGAUCAGUGGCGAACGGGUGAGUAACACGUGAGCAACCUGCCCUUGGCUCUGGGAUAACUCCGGGAAACCGGGGCUAAUACCGGAUACGACGUGCGGAGGCAUCUUCGUGCGUGGAAAGUUUUUCGGCCAGGGAUGGGCUCGCGGCCUAUCAGCUUGUUGGUGGGGUGAAGGCCUACCAAGGCGACGACGGGUAGCCGGCCUGAGAGGGCGACCGGCCACACUGGGACUGAGACACGGCCCAGACUCCUACGGGAGGCAGCAGUGGGGAAUAUUGCGCAAUGGGCGAAAGCCUGACGCAGCGACGCCGCGUGAGGGAUGAAGGCCUUCGGGUUGUAAACCUCUUUCAGCAGGGAAGAAGCGAAAGUGACGGUACCUGCAGAAGAAGCACCGGCUAACUACGUGCCAGCAGCCGCGGUAAUACGUAGGGUGCAAGCGUUGUCCGGAAUUAUUGGGCGUAAAGAGCUCGUAGGCGGUUUGUCGCGUCUGCUGUGAAAACUCGGGGCUCAACCCCGGGCCUGCAGUGGGUACGGGCAGACUAGAGUACGGUAGGGGAGACUGGAAUUCCUGGUGUAGCGGUGAAAUGCGCAGAUAUCAGGAGGAACACCGGUGGCGAAGGCGGGUCUCUGGGCCGUAACUGACGCUGAGGAGCGAAAGCGUGGGGAGCGAACAGGAUUAGAUACCCUGGUAGUCCACGCCGUAAACGUUGGGCGCUAGGUGUGGGGCCCAUUCCACGGGUUCCGUGCCGCAGCAAACGCAUUAAGCGCCCCGCCUGGGGAGUACGGCCGCAA